RNAcentral lists this long non-coding RNA (285 nucleotides) under Panax ginseng (ginseng). Its description in RNAcentral is "long non-coding RNA (PGIN_LNC019063)". The record is from RNAcentral. Lineage: Eukaryota; Viridiplantae; Streptophyta; Magnoliopsida; Apiales; Araliaceae.
UAGAUUCGAAAAAGGUCAAAUCCCAUGUCAUUGUGUAGCUCUCGAAAAGGUCAUUUUGGAAAGGUAUAGCACGCCUCCAUCGGAUUCUCAAAUUGAAAGUUACGAAGGUUCUAGCAGACAUCGCGUUGGUCGGAGUGCACGUACUUCGAGAUAAAUGGACCCAUGAGGCCGGGCCCACCCGGGUCAGCCAUAGGUAGACCCGCGGCUGCCUCAGGUGGACCUGCGGCUGAUUUGUUCUAUAAAUAGACACCCCGUCAGCCAUUAAAAAAAAGAAAAAAAGAGAGG